CCGAGCAGUUCUCCCGAAUAUAUCAAAAGCAGGAGAGUUUGAAGGACCAGUUACUACCAGAUCUUACGAAAGUUUCUGCUGUUGAUUUCGUCUGCGCUAAUUCUGGCUUGCAACGAGUUCCAAGGAAUAUAUUCCUAUUCGUUUCCGACAAGGUUUGAAGGAAUAUAAUGUCAAAAUUCCUUUGAGUGACUCUCAUAUGGAGGCGUAUUUUCUACUUUAUUGUAAGGCGCAAAAGGCAUUUUUUCAAGGAGUGUAUGGGCGUAUUCGAAAACGUCAAAGUACAAAGAUUCGGUCAUUGAUUUCCAAACCGCAAAAGAAGAAAAAUUGUAACUUGCGCAAUCUAGCUGAAAACUAGCAUCUAACCGUGGUUGGCCACAUUUGGCAUUACAAUCUAUGUUUAGGCCUCCGCCUAAAUAGAUUAGAAAGAGGACACCCCUAAUGUUUAACAUUGUGUUAACAUUGCCGCUGUUAACUUUCCCCUCGCUUUCUAUUUGUUUCCGUUAUUGGAAUAGUACUACUUGAAAACAUCUUGGCAGGCUACCGCCAUUAUAAUAAAAAACUGUUCACUUACUUCUUUUGCGAGCAUCCAGAGAAGAGGACGUGAUCCAGCCACCAUACUACAGCGUAUUCAAAGCACCAAAUUGAUCGCCAACCACUGAGCUCUUAAGAACAAAGAAGCAUUGAAUUUGUUACGGAAGACGUAUCUUUGAGGAGAAAAAGUGACCACAAACCUCUGGAUAACUUGUGCGCACAUCCAUACACAUACGAGCCAUCUGUACACACAAAAGAAAACUUCUUCUAUUAAGAUUUUAAAGGAGAUGACUCGCUACACUACCAUGCGUAAACAGGCUGAGGCAAGGAAAUAUCCGCUAACAUGCAGGCUGUGUGGUAGCAAGCAUCCGAUUCGACUGUGCCCAGUGUUUCGGUCCAAAUCGCUGGAGG
RNAcentral lists this unclassified non-coding RNA (942 nucleotides) under Rhagoletis pomonella (apple maggot). Its description in RNAcentral is "uncharacterized LOC118749685, transcript variant X2". Lineage: Eukaryota; Metazoa; Arthropoda; Insecta; Diptera; Tephritidae. The record is from RNAcentral.